UGAGUAGGCGGUUAUAUAUGUCAGGUGUAAAAGGCGUAGGCUUAACUUACGUAAGCACUUGAAACUGUAUGACUUGAGAGCAGGAGAGGUAAGUGGAAUUCCUAGUGUAGCGGUGAAAUGCGUAGAUAUUAGGAGGAACACCAGUGGCGAAGGCGACUUACUGGACUGUAACUGACGCUGAGUCACGAAAGUGUGGGUAGCAAACAG
Molecule: ribosomal RNA, 207 nt
Filed under: uncultured Eubacteriales bacterium
Lineage: Bacteria; Bacillati; Bacillota; Clostridia; Eubacteriales
Description: uncultured Clostridiales bacterium partial 16S ribosomal RNA
Rfam family: Bacterial small subunit ribosomal RNA
Source: RNAcentral